UUCCCGUCGACCGCGGCGGACCCGCCCCGGCCCUGAGCCGGAGCCCCGCGCGGGGAUUGCGCGAGGUCCCGGGUCAAGCCCGGGACGGGGAU
RNAcentral lists this transfer RNA (92 nucleotides) under Wenxinia marina. RNAcentral describes it as "tRNA-Gln". The record is from RNAcentral. Lineage: Bacteria; Pseudomonadati; Pseudomonadota; Alphaproteobacteria; Rhodobacterales; Roseobacteraceae.